GUCGAGCGGUAACAGAUUGAUAGCUUGCUAUCAAUGCUGACGAGCGGCGGACGGGUGAGUAAUGCCUGGGAAUAUGCCCUGAUGUGGGGGAUAACUAUUGGAAACGAUAGCUAAUACCGCAUAAUCUCUUCGGAGCAAAGAGGGGGACCUUCGGGCCUCUCGCGUCAGGAUUAGCCCAGGUGGGAUUAGCUUGUUGGUGGGGUAAUGGCUCACCAAGGCAACGAUCCCUAGCUGGUCUGAGAGGAUGAUCAGCCACACUGGAACUGAGACACGGUCCAGACUCCUACGGGAGGCAGCAGUGGGGAAUAUUGCACAAUGGGGGAAACCCUGAUGCAGCCAUGCCGCGUGUAUGAAGAAGGCCUUCGGGUUGUAAAGUACUUUCAGUUGUGAGGAAGGCGUUGAUGUUAAUAGCUUCAGCGUUUGACGUUAGCAACAGAAGAAGCACCGGCUAACUCCGUGCCAGCAGCCGCGGUAAUACGGAGGGUGCGAGCGUUAAUCGGAAUUACUGGGCGUAAAGCGCAUGCAGGUGGUCUGUUAAGCAAGAUGUGAAAGCCCGGGGCUCAACCUCGGAACAGCAUUUUGAACUGGCAGACUAGAGUACUGUAGAGGGGGGUAGAAUU
This 620-nucleotide ribosomal RNA is filed under the name bacterium 4878K2-B1. RNAcentral describes it as "bacterial SSU rRNA". It matches the Rfam family "Bacterial small subunit ribosomal RNA", at positions 61 to 668 of the family's 1533-position model. The record is from RNAcentral.